AUAUCAAUAUAACCAACGACAUGGAUCAAGUAUAGGUGUGUAGCAUGGAAAUAACAUAAAGUGUGGUCUGAAAUAGAAUGUCUAUUUCCAACUGGUUCUAUUUAUUGAGAUCAGUCAUAAACCAUAAGAGUACAUAAAACUUUAAGACUGAAUAUCUGCAGAUAAAACCUUAAAGACUGAAUUGCCGAAUGUAAUGGACAAUACAUA
Molecule: long non-coding RNA, 207 nt
Filed under: Nicotiana benthamiana
Lineage: Eukaryota; Viridiplantae; Streptophyta; Magnoliopsida; Solanales; Solanaceae
Description: long non-coding RNA (NBEN_LNC025825)
Source: RNAcentral